AUGGGAGAAGUUGACCCAGCUUUCAUGCAAGACCCUGAACACAGGCCCAAACUCUCCAAUAUCGAAGCUGAAGGGAUACCAUUAAUUGACCUCUCUGCAAUUAACUAUCCAAACUCCAGUCCUGACCCAGAAGCUAGAGCAUAAAUUGUUAGAGAAGUAGGCAGUGCAUGCAAGGAAUGGGGGUUCUUCCAAGUGAUCAACCAUGGGGUGUCAUUGGAUAAGCUCCAAAAGAUUGAGGCUGCUGCUAAGAAGUUCUUUGCUUUGCCUUUGGAGGAUAAGAGGAAGAUCAGGAGAGACCUGAACAAUGUGUUAGGGUACUUUGACACAGAGAACACCAAGAAUAUUCGGGACUGGAAGGAGGUGUUUGAUUUUGAUGUGGAAGACCCUACUUUAGUCCCAGCUUCACCUGAUCCUGAGGUUGACAAAGAGACUGAGUGGACUAAUCAAUGGCCUGAGCAUCCUCCAGAAAUGAGGGAAACAUGUCAAGAAUAUGCUGGAGAAGUUGAAAAGCUAGCUCUAAAGUUGAUGGGACUUGUUGCCUUAAGUCUGGGAUUGCCAGAAGACAGGUUCAAAGGCUACUUCAAAGACCAAACCACUCGUAUCAGACUCAAUCACUAUCCGCCUUGCCCAUCUCCAGAGUUGGCUCUUGGUGUUGGUCGCCAUAAGGAUGGUGGCGCUCUAACUGUGCUAGCUCAAGAUGAUGUUGGAGGAUUAGAAGUGAAGAGAAAAACAGAUGGAGAGUGGGUUAGGGUAAAUCCCACCCCAAAUGCUUAUAUCAUCAAUCUUGGUGACACUCUUCAGGUUUGGAGCAAUGAGAGAUAUGAAAGUACAGAACACAGGGUGAUGGUGAAUUCAAAGAAGGAAAGGUUUUCUAUCCCCUACUUCCUUGAGCCAUCACACUACACCGUAACAAGGCCCCUGGAAGAGCUGAUCAAUGAACAAAAUCCGGCCAAGUAUAGGCCAUACAGCUGGGGCAAGUUUAUGACUCACAGAAAGCUGAGUAAUUUCAAGAAACUCAACGUUGAAAACAUCCAAAUUCAUCAUUUCAGGAUAUAG
Molecule: RNA transcript, 1056 nt
Organism: Fragaria vesca subsp. vesca
Lineage: Eukaryota; Viridiplantae; Streptophyta; Magnoliopsida; Rosales; Rosaceae
Gene name: feruloyl CoA ortho-hydroxylase 2-like
Exons: 3
Source: RefSeq, a predicted model, not a curated record